GACGAACGCUGGCGGCGUGCUUAACACAUGCAAGUCGAACGGAAAGGCCCUGCUUUUGUGGGGUGCUCGAGUGGCGAACGGGUGAGUAACAAGUGAGUAACCUGCCCUUGACUUUGGGAUAACUUCAGGAAACUGGGGCUAAUACCGGAUAGGAGCUCCUGCUGCAUGGUGUGUGUUGGAAAGUUUCGGCGGUUGGGGAUGGACUCGCGGCUUAUCAGCUUGUUGGUGGGGUAGUGGCUUACCAAGGCUUUGACGGGUAGCCGGCCUGAGAGGGUGACCGGCCACAUUGGGACUGAGAUACGGCCCAGACUCCUACGGGAGGCAGCAGUGGGGAAUAUUGCACAAUGGGCGGAAGCCUGAUGCAGCAACGCCGCGUGCGGGAUGACGGCAGGCGGGUUGUAAACCGCUUUCGCCUGUGACGAAGCGUGAGUGGCGGUAAUGGGUAAAGAAGCACCGGCUAACUACGUG
This 468-nucleotide ribosomal RNA is filed under the name uncultured bacterium. RNAcentral's name for it is "partial 16S ribosomal RNA". It matches the Rfam family "Bacterial small subunit ribosomal RNA", at positions 28 to 507 of the family's 1533-position model. The record is from RNAcentral.